AAAAUCUGUGCGGGCAAAGUAUUGUUGCUUCUGUGUGUCACUUCAAAAGUAUUUGGACACCAGGCACUCAUCUCAUGUGUUGCCUAUCAAAUGGUCGGUGCGCUGGUAUGAAAACACCAUUGCAGCUUUCGCUCGAUUACCUGAACGAAACGUGCUCAUAACUGCAGAGUGAACUAUCUUUACCUUGGCAAACAGGUUGAAACAGCCCAACUUGCUGACGACACAAUGAACCUCAGGGAGCCUUUUGCCCUUUCCGCUGGGCUUAAAGAAGACAAAAGUUUCAUAUAUCAGACACACCCAUGACAUCAAUGCUCGAGUGUCAACACUCCAGCAAACGCAGUUGGUUUAACAACAUCAGACUCCACGGAGCACAAAGGUAGUAGGUUUAAAAGCAUUUAUAGUCCAAGGCAACAAAAAUCGAACUCAGUCUAUGGUGUUAACAAGCCGUGUUACCUCACAGGCAGCAAUCUUAUGAGACUGUAAAACUAAAAAUCGCUGCCAGGACACAAUAGGCGAAAACCACACAACACAACAGCAAGACCACAUAAUUUCAACCCAAAAAGACUGUGGGGAAGAAAGUGCUUUGACGGUUCCCUGCAAGACAAAAGACGGGAAAUUCUUCUCACUUUCAGUCAUGUGGUUUUUGCUUCACGAUUCACACGCACUGAGCCUACAGAGUUGAGUAAGCAUGUGGCUGGCUGCCAUAUCAUCACACAAACAUCACGCUAAAGUGACUCACCAGGAUCUUACGGCAGUAACAGAACCAGCGGCUCCCGUCUUCUCCGGUCAAGACGAAGGAGAAUGUCUCGCUGGUAAAAACAAAACAAAAAACAAGGAAAGCACAAAGGGGAAGUAGAGAUCAUCAGGGAGCAACUUAAAACAAUGAGAACAUACCGGAGGAGGUAUAUCAGUUUUAUUGGUGCAUACAGAGAAGCAAUGUAUUCAAAAAUAUCUUCAUUACUGUGAUACAGUAGUAUAGACUGACUGACUGACUGCACAACAACAGACCGCCAACUAUUUCGUUAGUAUUACUGCUCAGAUGCCAACAAUGCAUGUAAACGUGAGAAAAAAAUAACUAAAACUUACCCUAGCCCUAGUUUGAAACCCUAAAUUUAUUAUGAAACCCUUACCCUAGGUUGAAAUGCUGACUUUAGUUUGAAAUCGUACUACAUUUAACCAAGAACCCUCACCCAAACAUUUAAACUCCACUGCUAACCCUAACCCAAACCCUAACCCUUGCCCCUAACACUAACCCUAGUUUGAGACCCGAACUUUAAUUUGAAUGCCUACUUUGAAACUACUUAACCCCAGUUUGAAAUCUUAACCUUAUUUUUAAACCCUACUUUGAAACCAAACUCCUAGUUUAAAACCCUACUUUGAAACCCUAACCCCAGUUUAAAAAAACGGACUUUGGUUUGACACUGCAAUACGACACUUAAUCAAGAACCUUAACCCUAGCACUUAAACCCUAAAACCAAUCCUGACAAGAGACAAAGGUUCGAAUUGAAUUGAAGGAGCAAAUGGAAAGCUCUUAUUUAAUAGUUGUAAUAUUAUGUAGUUUGUCCAAUUGGAGUGCCCGUCACGUGACUAUUUUAUGAUAACUCGGAUAUAGUCAAGUUUAUAGAUAUGCCAAGUGUCAUCUUCCACGAUGGCUGACCUUGGUGUGUGCGCUGAAGGCUUCCAGUCACGUACAUCCGGGAAGCAGAAUUUGGGAAUGACCUUUAAUUGAUCUUCAGCUUCUUUGGAGAGUCGAGAUGAUUUUUCAAACUGAAAACAGAACAAUUCAUAUUUAAACCCAGGGGCAAGUCACUUGAUUUGAAUUGCUCAGUGAUUCCCAUUCCAAAAGAUCAUCUACACGAUGAUACAAUAAGGUUUGACGAUUGUCAUCAAUCACUCAUCAUAAUCAGAAGUUACAAACCAUUUUUGGAAACUGUUGCGUUAUUUCAGGGGAGUAGGUAUUGGCUGGGGAACCUUUCCUCAGAGACACCACUACAAAGAUCUGGAAGAGCUGCUGCUGCUGUGCCUGGAUCAGGUCUUUCUCCAGAGUGCGAUAGCCUGGCUUGCGCUUCAGUGUCGACUGUUUAUGAACAGAUCUCCUUAAACCUGCCGGAUGGACACCACACAGUGAGCUUCCUGUUUUCACAAGACAUUUAGGGACCCAAAUAUCCCAAACAUACUACACUGUAAGGGUUAAGAGUCAUUUUAAAGGAUACUUAAGAUACCCUGUGUUCCAAUUUUAAAGGUUUUGUACUCUGCGAUAGAUUUGUAUGGAUAGAUUUAAUGUAUCGGAAUUAUAGUUGAUACGUCAACAUUACAAAAAGGAAUUCUACCAAUGACACAUUUUUUUUUCCCUGACGAAGCCUCCGGUGGCCUCACAUCGGAAUUCUUUACAAGAGUAAAUUUCUACUUGGCGAUUAGUCAUUGACUGCGCAAGCCAAGUCCACAGUUGGAGCUUACAGAGGAGCGACUAAAGAAUAGAGAAGAAAAUAAGAGGCAGCAGGAAAAGGAGUUGAAUGUGGACAGCUGCUCAGAGGCACUUUCUCCUCACACUUUUCUCAUUGCCAAUUAACUUUACAAAAGCUAUCUAGAUGAUGUUUCUUUUUUGAAGGUUUUUGUACGGUUGUUGUUUAUUUGCAAGGACUCAAGAAGACAGAAUACAGACACGAAAAGCCUUUCAUUCUGUGUGCUACCUUUGCCAUUGUCUUCAGGGUCGCUCUCAGUCCCACUGGUCUCCUCUGGCCAGUUAAAAAUGGAGAGAUUAGUGACACGCAGCGCUGCGGAACGGCCUUACAGUCACCCGCGGACAUGUUAUCAAAAAGAAAGUGAAUUCACUCCGCGGACAUGUUAUCAAAAAGAAAGUGAAUCCACUCCUAAUCAUCUAAAUUACUGAUACACAUUACAUCUGUACUUUACAAAUAGCUGUAAGCGUGUGUACGUUUGUGUGUGUGUGCCUGUGUCACCUCGCACUGCAACUCCUUGGUUUUUCACUCGCUUCCUCCCUCGCUUGUCAUCAAAUAUCGUCUCGAUCUUAUUAACGUACUGUGGGGUAUGAAACACAAACAACACGUUUUUGUUAGACCCCAUGAUUCUGGAGCUAUGACAAAAUGAUAGAAUUGAUGCCAUCUGGCUAAAAGGCUCUUAACAAGUACAUUCAAAAUCAUAAAAUUGAAAUGUAUGUUUUAAAAGGCCAUUUUUUUUUUGUAUUUGUGUAACAGAAUAUCAUAAAAAGUUGAAUAAGUAAGGGGUCUAAUGAACAUCGGGGAAGAAAUUCCGGUUGACUUUAAUGGACAAUGGUAAAUGUGCUUUUGUUAAGUGCUUAUAAGCUACAGAAGUCAAGUCGAGGAAUGAACUGUAUUCAAGAUUCAAGAGUUUUUAUUCGUUUUUUAUUCAUAUUAACGCUUACAAUCGAUCUGAGUUAUAAAAUCAUGUCUUGGAAUAAACAUUUACAUUGCAUCCUGCACAGAACUCUGAAAAGUAAUCUAAUAGUAGUACUAGUAGUGGCACCCACAAUAGAGUCGUGACAAAUGCCGUAUUAUUAUAGACCCCUUGAAGUAUGUCAUACACAAUGACACUUUUGUUAUUGGAAGAUGAAAUUACAUGUGGUUAUCGUUACAAAGAGUUGCCAUUAUAGGUCUCUUAUGAAUAGUAAAUUGAUACUGUACCUUAUUAGCAAAGGUCGUUUCUGUCAAGUCACUCUCUACAGCCAUGGCUCAUAGGUUACGUUUUUAUUUAUAUCAAUGCGCUCUUAAGCUACUCAUUUAUCUCUUUAGUUCGGUGUCUUCUACUUCCGUCUAGUAACAACAGCGUCUCCAUUUAUAUCCUCCACCUAAACAAAUGACGUCACUCGUUCUACCACAUUGCAGAAAAAACACCACGUGACUGGCUGAAUGGCACAUGGAAUGCAAGGACAAAACCAAACUAUUACCAGAGGUGUCUUGUGGAUUUUAGGAGCGCUUGUGCGUCGGGGGGUUGCAGCAUUGGCGACGGUUGAUCUUAAAUGUGGCAUUGUCCUCCUCUCCAUUUUGGUUUGGGAUUUUGCGUGGCGCUGUAAAACAAUUAGUCAGAAAUACAAUGUAAUUCCAGAGGAAUGAAUCUGAAGGAAGCUUCGCUAUACAGUGAAGUCAUGCGGCAAAGGGACCAAAAGCACUGCCGCAAAUAGCAAAAUGGACAGAAUAAUAGAUACUCACCCAAAAAGGGUUGUAAUUGCCUAUACGGUUGUGGCAAAACGCAAAAAUGCAACUCCUUCCUUCAGUGAAAAAAAAGGUGCUUGGCACAAAGAUGUAGUUUUAUUUUUGAUCCGAGCUUUGUCAAGCAAGUGAAAUUUCCCAGCAGUUAAUAAAGGAUAUGCUACAAAACAAA
Molecule: long non-coding RNA, 4359 nt
Organism: Syngnathus typhle (broad-nosed pipefish)
Lineage: Eukaryota; Metazoa; Chordata; Actinopteri; Syngnathiformes; Syngnathidae
Exons: 2
Source: RefSeq, a predicted model, not a curated record